UGCCGGGUGGUGUAUUGGGUAACACGCCUGCCUUUGAAGCAGGAGACACUAGGUUCGAACCCUAGCCCGGCAGCCA
This 76-nucleotide transfer RNA is filed under the name Candidatus Yanofskybacteria bacterium RIFCSPHIGHO2_01_FULL_44_110b. RNAcentral's name for it is "tRNA-Gln". It matches the Rfam family "tRNA". From Rfam's summary of the family: Transfer RNA (tRNA) molecules are approximately 80 nucleotides in length. Their secondary structure includes four short double-helical elements and three loops (D, anti-codon, and T loops). RNAcentral also lists the same sequence under 5 other names. The record is from RNAcentral. Lineage: Bacteria; Candidatus Yanofskyibacteriota.